AGGACGAACGCUGGCGGCGUGCUUAACACAUGCAAGUCGAGCGGAAAGGCCUUUCGGGGUACUCGAGCGGCGAACGGGUGAGUAACACGUGAGUAAUCUGCCCAUCGCUUCAGGAUAGCCAUCGGAAACGGUGAUUAAUACUGGAUAUGACAUUCCUUCGCAGUGUUGGGGUGUGGUAAAGUUUUUUCGGCGGUGGAUGUGCUCGCGGCCUAUCAGCUUGUUGGUGGGUAAUGGCCUACCAAGGUCUUUGGACGGGUAGCCGGCCUGGAGAGGGUCGACCGGCCACACGUGGGACUGACGACACCGGCCCAGACCUCCGUACGGGAGCGAGCGAGGUGGGAAUAGUGGACAAGGUGGGCGGAAGCCUGAUCCAGCCAACGCCGACGGUGAGGA
Molecule: ribosomal RNA, 393 nt
Filed under: uncultured soil bacterium
Lineage: Bacteria
Description: bacterial SSU rRNA
Rfam family: Bacterial small subunit ribosomal RNA
Source: RNAcentral